RNAcentral lists this ribosomal RNA (444 nucleotides) under uncultured bacterium. RNAcentral describes it as "SSU rRNA". It matches the Rfam family "Bacterial small subunit ribosomal RNA", at positions 26 to 518 of the family's 1533-position model. The record is from RNAcentral.
AGAGCGAACGCUGGCGGCAGGCCUAAUACAUGCAAGUCGAGCGCACCUUCGGGUGAGCGGCGGACGGGUGAGUAACGCGUGGGAAUAUGCCCUUUGGUACGGAACAACUGAGGGAAACUUCAGCUAAUACCGUAUGUGCCCUUUGGGGGAAAGAUUUAUCGCCAUUGGAGUAGCCCGCGUUGGAUUAGGUAGUUGGUGAGGUAAAGGCUCACCAAGCCUACGAUCCAUAGCUGGUCUGAGAGGAUGAUCAGCCACAUUGGGACUGAGACACGGCCCAAACUCCUACGGGAGGCAGCAGUAGGGAAUCUUGCGCAAUGGGCGAAAGCCUGACGCAGCCAUGCCGCGUGAAUGAUGAAGGUCUUAGGAUUGUAAAAUUCUUUCACCGGGGUAAGAUAAUGACGGUACCCGGAGAAGAAGCCCGGCUAACUUCGUGCCAGCAGCCGC